GGGGGCGUGGCUAAAUCCAUGGCGGGUCCCAGUCUGCUCAAAUGUCAGAGCCCAGUAUACGUGUCUUUUGUCAGCAAGGCCACCUUGUGGGAACGAGGACUCUGCCGCCAAACCGCCCACAAACGUCCAAACCACGGUCCCUUAUUGUGUCCACGGUUCUUGUCUCACAUGACCGCCCGCCCCGAGGACCUCAGGCCUCCUUGUGUCCCGAGCUCCGGGUCCAGACCGCUGCCCCCCCCUCGGGAGAAGACGGCGGUAACGCACGCCCUCGCUGCACCGAAGACACAAACGCUGGACGGUUUCUUCCGUCUCCAUCCAGACGGGAGAAGGAAAAGUGCGCCGAUGGCGGGAAGGCGCUCUGCUGCUGUUGUUGUUCCCUGUCCUCCACCCUCCGCUGCCCCACCGCCACGCACCGCCAACCCAACACCGCCCCGCCAAAACUCCCCGCACGGCGACUUCGAGAGGCGGCGAAGAAGCCGGUCGGCAUCUCCCUGCGACGAGCCACCUGCCCCGGGGGGGGGCGUUGAAGUCCGUGAGACGGCUCCGCGACCCGCCGCCGCGUCCCCCCACCCGGGCUGCCGGCUGCCUGCGGAGCCGAAUGGAUCGGAAGCGCCACCGCCGCCGGCGGCCUCCUCCUCCUCCUCCAUCUCACACGGGUCGCUCUCAGAUUUCAGCCGCCCACCGUCCAGCCGGUUCAGCCGCAGCACCGACCUCGCCAGCGGCCGGAGCAGCGUCCUGUCCGGCGAUCUCGGAGACUCGGAGCCAGGAGGCGGCGUUUGCUCCUCACCGCUCCAGCCUCGCCCGGUGACGGGGUCACCCUCGGCUCCUCGCCCUCCGCCGGCAUCCCACCCUCGCCAACCAUCCGCCGAUGCUUCGGCCACCCCUCUCCUCUACGAACCGCUAUUUGGGCAAACCCGACCCCUCUCGCCGCCGUCGACGUCAGGUGGGCUUCGUCAAUCAGAUAACCCUCCGAGCAGGAGCGAAAGCCCCGAUGCGACAAAGUAUCUCCAACCAGUUCCAUCAGAAGCUCCUGGUCCCCACCCAUCCAUGGCCUCCGACCGCGGCCUCGUCGGCCUGGCUUUCCCCUCCGCCACCUGGUCCUCCUGCCCGAGUCCGCAGAGGACCACUCCCCGCUCCUCGGGGUCAGGACCGGCUCCGACCCCUCCUGCGUCGGCGCCCCGUCUGGAGUCUCGUCGCUGGUCCCCGCUGCCUCCCAUCUCCCCUGUCGGAGGACGCUGUGGCACCGCAGCAUCCCGCUACUCCGAGCUCAGCUGCACUCAGUCCCGCGCGUUCGAUGAGCUGGAGGCCAUCGCCCCUCGCUCGCUGUCCUCCCCGUCUCUGGACCGGCUGUCGGACUCCUCCGGGUGCCCUUCACCUGACACAGCAGAGCUGUCUCCGGGCCUGGCGGCGCUGACGGUGGGCUGUGACUCCGGGACCCUGGGCUCUCUGUCCCGGGUGCAGCUGCUCCUCCUGGACCGGCCGCAGCCCGACACCCGGCCGGGUCUGUUCGGCCCGGAAGAGGAGCUCUCGCCGGUGCAAGACUGGCCUCGUCUCGCGAUGCAACAUGAAGGUGGCGUGAGGCCCCGCACAGCUGGCGGCGUCUCUGAAAGGUGUGACUCCGCAGGGAAAGUCCACGAAAACAAAUCGGAGGGGUCCGAAGACGGUUUCUGGCUCUCCGUCUUCGUGGAUCAUCGACCCGGAGUCCAUCGCUCGCCAUGUUCAGAUCCGCCCUCUCCCCUUGCGUGUCCGAUCUCGGUUCCAGCGGAGGGGAAGGGGGCCCCGCCGAGGAGGAGGAGGAGGCCAAUUAUCCGGGAUGGGGGCAACAAGUCGAAUCCUCAGCCGCAGGACGGAGGCCCGCGAGCCUUGAUGGCAGAAGUGAGGAGAGGAAGCGGAGGAUGGAGGAGAGGAAAACAAAGGUGCUGAGCUUGCUCUCCAAGCUGCAGGACGACGGGCCGCGGCAGCCAAAGGGCCACCGGAGCUGCUCCAACUUCCAGGACUAUAAAAGCGUGGAGGUCACACAAGGAGAUAUAAAUCAUGCACAGAUGAGCGUUCGGAGGCCAGAGACGUCCAUCCGUCAGCUGCAGACGUCGAAGACGGCGUCCGCGUUAAAUGAGUCGUGACCCGCGGCUGCGCCAGAGAAAGGGAACAAAACCCCCAAAAAACAAACGCCAGUGAAAGGCCCGAACCUCCCCGCUCAUCAUCAUCAUCGCGGCCCCCAUUCUUCCUCUCUCAAUUGCAACUGAAUCGCCUCGGCCUCAUUACAGAUUACGGCCUCCGCGGAGUGACUCUCCCCUUUCUCUCGCCUUUUCUCCACACAGUCCCUCUCUUGAUUAACAUUUUCUGCUAGGCUUCACACCAAAGGCCCAACCUGUGCGCUCUAAAGGCGGGGUGAAAAAAAAGAAAAAGCCAUCAAGCGCUGGAGUGGAAUCAGAUAAGGCUAUCAGGCAGGAGGCUUUGCUGCCUCGCCUUUGUCCCGCUCCUCCACCCGCCCUCGCUUCCUCCCUCAAUCUCUCACUCCGCUGCACCUUUUGUCCGGCUGAUUCCCUGACGGAGUGCUCCCCUCAGACAAGGACCCCCCCGACCUCCUGCAGCACCACCGUGUGUGUGUGUGUGUGUGGAGGGGGGGGGUUACUUGUAUUGCAGACAAGACCAGGCAGGCUGUGGUCAGAGCCGACGUUGAACUUCCUUAAACUCUGCUUCGCUCAAAGUCACCGUUCGUAUCACAGUUAGAGCCCGUGUGCUGGACUGCGUUGAACUGAACCACGAUGUGUAAGUUUACACUACAUGGAGGGCUGCUGGUGACGGGGCGCCUCCACCUGUGGAAAGCCGGACUCGUGAGGCAGGAGCUCGUCUCCCACCUGAGCGGCUCCAGCAGAGAGCGCGGCGGCGAUAGCGGCCCGGGUCGUCGCGGCGGACUCCUCCUCUAGUUGACUUUUUGGCAAAGUAUUGCAUUUUCAGUCAGGAGAAGCUGGCCGAGUACAAAAGGGCUUUUGAAGCAGAGGACGCUGAUGAUGACGGCUACAUAUCCUGCCUUCAGGCUCUGCUCGCGCUCAAGAGCGUCAUCCCCGCGGAGCGGCUGUCCGACGAAGAAGAAAUCUACGUCUACAGGAUCUUAGAGAUGGUGGACUUCAGCGUGACAGAUGGGCUGGUGGACCUCCGGCUCUUUGCUGUGAUUGCGAGCCUGGCGCAGAAAGUGGCGGCCAUGGAUGAGUUCAUGCGAUCGCUAAUCACCGACAUGGACUUCCGCUCGUUAGAAGUGAGGCUCUUCAAAGCGAAGCAACUGUUCCUGUUCCUCAUGGAGGAGCAGCAAGGAGACGCCGGAGCCCAGCGGGGCUCCAUCAGCGCGGAGCAGCUCCUUCUGGAGCUGAAGGCCGGGGGCAUCCACCUGGAGCAGGAGGCGGCCGUGCGGCUGGAGCUGCAGCGCAUCCCCCCCCUGGACCUGCUGGACUUCCUGGCCUACCUGCCGCUCUUCAUGCUCAUUCACAAGUCGGUCAUCGCCAACCCUCUCAAUGACUCCGGCGACCUCUGACCUCGGCCCUUGGCACCUGGCGAAGCAGCGUCACUGCCGUUAAAUCCACCAACACGCAGGAACCCUUCAUUUAAUUUGUUUUGUUUUUACAUUACUAGUAAAGAUAAGUCUGGUUAUUAGCUAUUUAGUUAGCCUGGAAUGCUAACGUGCAGUUAGCUGCUAACUGCCAGCUCAGCACGUUGAGCGUUAUGAAACUUUUGCAACUUCUUUUCACAACCACUUGAUGUUUGUCUCAUUGAUUAAUAUAUUGUUCUGUGGUUCCUGUUAACGUUUCAUGGAGCUGUGAAGUGCUGUCUAUGGUCCUGAAAUGUUUCCGUAGAUGUUGCAGCCGUUUGAAAAAGCUUUAAACGCAUCAAAAAGUUGCAUUAAAUAAAAGCACCUCCAAACGGGGCGGGGCUCUCUUCU
Gasterosteus aculeatus aculeatus (three-spined stickleback) is the source of this 3934-nucleotide long non-coding RNA. NCBI's taxonomy places the organism in Eukaryota, Metazoa, Chordata, Actinopteri, Perciformes, Gasterosteidae. The record is from Ensembl.